ACGGGAAUCACUUGGGGAUCUUGGUAAAAUGCAGGUUUAUGAUCUGUGAAAGGGACCAAGGAUCUGCAUUUCUACCAAAGUCCCAGAGGACCUCAGU
This 97-nucleotide microRNA precursor is filed under the name Marmota monax (woodchuck). The record is from RNAcentral. Lineage: Eukaryota; Metazoa; Chordata; Mammalia; Rodentia; Sciuridae.